Drosophila arizonae is the source of this 93-nucleotide long non-coding RNA. NCBI's taxonomy places the organism in Eukaryota, Metazoa, Arthropoda, Insecta, Diptera, Drosophilidae. The record is from RefSeq and is a predicted model, not a curated record.
GCGGCGGCGGUCCGCUGCGUCCGCCCUGCAUGUGGCGAUUGUAGAUGCUGCAAUAGAACAGAAGAGUGAAUUGAGCAUGUACAGAGAUAGAGA